This 19-nucleotide small RNA is filed under the name Arabidopsis thaliana (thale cress). RNAcentral's name for it is "ATSL060450". Lineage: Eukaryota; Viridiplantae; Streptophyta; Magnoliopsida; Brassicales; Brassicaceae. The record is from RNAcentral.
ACAUUUUUCUUUAUUUUUU